This 399-nucleotide ribosomal RNA is filed under the name uncultured bacterium. Its description in RNAcentral is "bacterial SSU rRNA". It matches the Rfam family "Bacterial small subunit ribosomal RNA", at positions 355 to 769 of the family's 1533-position model. The record is from RNAcentral.
UGGGGAAUAUUGGGCAAUGGGGGAAACCCUGACCCAGCGACGCCGCGUGAGGGAAGAAGGCCUUAGGGUCGUAAACCUCUGUUGUGUGGGAAGAAGAGCGUGACGGUACCACACGAGGAAGUCCCGGCUAACUACGUGCCAGCAGCCGCGGUAAUACGUAGGGGACGAGCGUUGUCCGGAUUUACUGGGCGUAAAGGGCGCGUAGGCGGUCAUUUAAGUCAGCUGUGAAAUGGUUUGGCUUAACCGGAUCAUGCGGUUGAAACUGGAUGACUGGAGUGCUGGAGAGGCAAGUGGAAUUCCCAGUGUAGCGGUGAAAUGCGUAGAUAUUGGGAAGAACACCGGUGGCGAAGGCGACUUGCUGGCCAGCAACUGACGCUGAGGCGCGAAAGCCAGGGGAGC